GGGAAGGUAGUCUAGCUUGGUAUGAUUCUUAAAGAAAUUAUUUCUUUAUGGCAUAAAUCUUGGUUCGGAACCAAGAGACCGGGGGUUCAAAUCCCCCCUUUCCCA
Molecule: transfer RNA, 105 nt
Filed under: Promethearchaeota archaeon
Lineage: Archaea; Promethearchaeati; Promethearchaeota
Description: Candidatus Lokiarchaeota archaeon (microbial mat metagenome) tRNA-Pro
Rfam family: tRNA
About the family: Transfer RNA (tRNA) molecules are approximately 80 nucleotides in length. Their secondary structure includes four short double-helical elements and three loops (D, anti-codon, and T loops). Further hydrogen bonds mediate the characteristic L-shaped molecular structure. tRNAs have two regions of fundamental functional importance: the anti-codon, which is responsible for specific mRNA codon recognition, and the 3' end, to which the tRNAs corresponding amino acid is attached (by aminoacyl-tRNA synthetases). tRNAs cope with the degeneracy of the genetic code in two manners: having more than one tRNA (with a specific anti-codon) for a particular amino acid; and 'wobble' base-pairing, i.e. permitting non-standard base-pairing at the 3rd anti-codon position.
Source: RNAcentral